GCUGCACACACACCCACGCCCAACCCACGCACACACACCCAUACCCAUGUUGGAUCCCAUCUCUCUCAUCCUCCUCGAUCCCCUUUCUCCACCCCACGCCGCCACCAGAUUCCGGCGAUCCCCGCCGUUCCCCACCGCCCAGCUCUCCUCCCCGAGGUCACCUCUCCCCGCUCACCAUCUCCACCGACCGAUUUCUCUCCUCGCCCAGGAGAGCCACGCCCAGGCACUGGUGGUGGUGCACCGUGAGGAGGCCCCAGCGGCGUCGAGAUGCUGCUGCUACGGGCACAGCGACGUGAUGGGGAGGAGCUACGUCGGGAUGCUGCUCCUGCGCCGAGCUACUGCUGCUGCAGGCACGACAACGAGCCGGGGAGCUGCUGUUGCUGCGGGCGCGGCGUCUCUCCUUUCCCCAAAUCCCCAUCUGACGCAUCCCUCUCCAGCCUCAAGCCGCUGCCCUGAGCUCCCCUACAGGCCGGCGACACCACUCUGAUUAGGAGUCACGCAUGUGGCACGCAUAGUAUUCCGGUCACCAACUGCCCUCCAGGUAUUCUCUUCAUUUGGUUAAAUUCACUGGCGGAGGAGCCCAGUGGGCAAGGUGUGGCAGCCACCACACCUUGAUUUCCACCAAUUUUUUUAUAUAUAAGCAUAUACUUUUCUUGAUGGAAAUACUGCUUGUUAGUUUUAGACCACGCUAGAUCGAUUCACCCAAACAAAGCUAGAUGAAGCACGUAAGUUAGAUUGGAAGCACACAAGCAGGCAGCUUGAUUGAUGUGUUGUCCAGCACAUGCCCAUCUCACUACGUAGACGUACGCGAACCAGCUCGCUUCCGCUGUACAACGAUCGGAUCGAUUCUCUCCGCGGCUCGCUCCUGAUGGAACUCGUGACUAGGCGAUCCAAAAACAGAACGGAUAAAUUUGCAACAUGUAUUUUUUUUUCUUAUGACAUAUAUAAGAGUACAUGAUUGACUUCCGCCAGCCCGCCCGCGGGCAAUUUUUGCCCUGAAACACGCCGCCGUCGCCCGUCGGCCCAUCCCCGAUCCCGCCGCCGGCAGCACAAUCGUAUUCUCUGCCGACCUGCCGAUUUGAGUCUGCUAUGCUGAUGAUGGCCCGCCUCCGCCGCCGGCGAUUUGUGCCCAACAACGCCGCUACCCCUGCCCGUCCAUCCAUCCCUAACACCGUCUCGACCCGCGGCCUAUCGAAUUGGCUAUUAUGUUUUUGCAUCAAUUUUUUAUUGAGGGGGCAUCAAUUUUGUCUAGUUGACAGUUUGCCACACCUUAAUUUUUUUUCCGUCCUCCACCCCUGGUUAAAUUAAUGUGUCUUUCCUCAGCUUAGAUUAACAGUUCAUUGUUUCUUUCUCUGAAUAUGUGUACAUUCAGAAGCAACUAUGAACAACAGUUUCGUUCUUUGAAUUAUGCGUAUUUUUAGGAUCAGAUGCUUAAAUAUCAGAUGAUGAUUCUACAUAGAUACACUGGCUUUUGUAUGACCUGAAUAGAAGCAAAUGAAUAUCAUCAAUUCUGAUGUUAAGGAAAGUAAAACAGAGACGCCAGUUAUUAACAUGGGCAGAAAGAGUAGUUCUUGGCAUCUUCCUCUCCCUCCUCACUUGUUACGAUUGAGUAGGUGUUGUCAAAGGCCAAUUAUAUCUGUGAUGCUAUGUCGACUUAGAUCUGGAUGUUGGUAGUUACCUAUAUGUAGGAGGAAACAAGAAAGACCACGCUACAACACUAAGUGGUGUAAUUUCUGGUAGUUACCUAGCUUUAGCAUGCAACUUCGAUCCCUACCUAUUAACUUUACAGUGUAUAUGCACUGAAAUUUAACUGCAUCUUAUGUUCUUUUUUUUGUUGCUCUUGGCCAUCCAAUAUGUUAUCAUUGUUUUUUCUAUUUAUUAACCCAUAAGGUAUCCCGGCCAUUAUUUGUCAGCAAUUUUAGUUUAGAGCAACCUGCAGUUUAUUUUCUAUGGUUUCUACUGUUAUACAUUAAUUGCAAGCCUUUUCUGCUUACAAACUUGUCAGUGACUUGACUUUUCACUAUGUAGAUUACUGUUACAUGAAAGAAAAUGUUUUGCUGGAUGGUUGGUUUAUAUCAUCAUCUUACAGCAGAACAUUCGGCUAUUUGACCAUGCAUACUUGACCGUGCUUUUGCAAAGUCUAUAGGUGUGAGCUAUUUUGCUCGUGGACAAUCUCAUGUGUUGGAUCUGCAUUGGAUGGCAGAUAAGCGGAGUGGGAGCUUGCAAUAGCAGCUUUGACCCCUUCCCAAUGAGCUGCAGGUCGUAGACGAGGUCCUGGCCGAGAAAAAACCUUGCUGGGUCCGAAGUUGUCCAGAUGCAUGGUGAAUGAUGGCUGAGAUAUGGUGCGAAAUGGAAUAGAAAGAAAAUUCUUGUGCCUGGAGGGAGCGGAACUGAAUGUGAUCGGGGGGUCACAGUCAAGAGAGUGCUUCCUUGGCGUGCUACCAAAGGGAAAUGCCACUAUCAUGGAAGUAAAAGAGAUGGCCAUUUAAUUAGGCUAGGCUCACAAGUAGCUGGAUUUUUUGUGUGUGAAGAUGCAUCAGUGAUUUUUUAGCAGUUUAUAAUGGUACUAGCCCCCUGUGCUUGUGGGUGCAGUGCCCUAAUUGCAAAAAAAUACCAGGUGCAAGUGUGGUGCUGGUUCUCUCCUUUGGCUUUUUGGUAUUGGUUCUCUCCUUUGGCUCCUUGUAAUAUGUGUUGGAUAUGUGUUCAUGGAUAUGUGUUUGAUAUAUAUGUGUUCAUGACUAUUGGUAACAUGUGUUGGAUAUGUGUUCAUGGCUA
Molecule: long non-coding RNA, 2775 nt
Organism: Triticum dicoccoides
Lineage: Eukaryota; Viridiplantae; Streptophyta; Magnoliopsida; Poales; Poaceae
Exons: 3
Source: RefSeq, a predicted model, not a curated record